Molecule: ribosomal RNA, 475 nt
Filed under: Dietzia sp. enrichment culture
Lineage: Bacteria; Bacillati; Actinomycetota; Actinomycetes; Mycobacteriales; Dietziaceae
Description: bacterial SSU rRNA
Rfam family: Bacterial small subunit ribosomal RNA
Source: RNAcentral
GUGCCAGCAGCCGCGGUAAUACGUAGGGUGCGAGCGUUGUCCGGAAUUACUGGGCGUAAAGAGCUCGUAGGCGGUUUGUCACGUCGUCUGUGAAAUCCCUCGGCUUAACCGGGGGCGUGCAGGCGAUACGGGCAGACUUGAGUACUACAGGGGAGACUGGAAUUCCUGGUGUAGCGGUGAAAUGCGCAGAUAUCAGGAGGAACACCGGUGGCGAAGGCGGGUCUCUGGGUAGUAACUGACGCUGAGGAGCGAAAGCAUGGGGAGCGAACAGGAUUAGAUACCCUGGUAGUCCAUGCCGUAAACGGUGGGCGCUAGGUGUGGGGUCCUUCCACGGAUUCCGUGCCGUAGCUAACGCAUUAAGCGCCCCGCCUGGGGAGUACGGCCGCAAGGCUAAAACUCAAAGGAAUUGACGGGGGCCCGCACAAGCGGCGGAGCAUGUGGAUUAAUUCGAUGCAACGCGAAGAACCUUACCAGG